Molecule: ribosomal RNA, 393 nt
Filed under: uncultured bacterium
Lineage: Bacteria
Description: bacterial SSU rRNA
Rfam family: Bacterial small subunit ribosomal RNA
Source: RNAcentral
CCCUUAGAGUUUGAUCCUGGCUCAGGAUGAACGCUGACAGAAUGCUUAACACAUGCAAGUCUACUUGAUCCUUCGGGUGAAGGUGGCGGACGGGUGAGUAACGCGUAAAGAACUUGCCUUACAGACUGGGACAACAUUUGGAAACGAAUGCUAAUACCGGAUAUUAUGAUUGGGUCGCAUGAUCUGGUUAUGAAAGCUAUAUGCGCCGUGAGAGAGCUUUGCGUCCCAUUAGUUAGUUGGUGAGGUAACGGCUCACCAAGACGAUGAUGGGUAGCCGGCCUGAGAGGGUGAACGGCCACAAGGGGACUGAGACACGGCCCUUACUCCUACGGGAGGCAGCAGUGGGGAAUAUUGGACAAUGGACCAAAAGUCUGAUCCAGCAAUUCUGUGUGC